This 495-nucleotide ribosomal RNA is filed under the name uncultured bacterium. Its description in RNAcentral is "partial 16S ribosomal RNA". It matches the Rfam family "Bacterial small subunit ribosomal RNA", at positions 28 to 507 of the family's 1533-position model. The record is from RNAcentral.
GACGAACGCUGGCGGCGUGCCUAAUACAUGCAAGUAGAACGCUGAAGGAGGAGCUUGCUCUUCUGGAUGAGUUGCGAACGGGUGAGUAACGCGUAGGUAACCUGCCUGGUAGCGGGGGAUAACUAUUGGAAACGAUAGCUAAUACCGCAUAAGAGUAGAUGUUGCAUGACAUUUGCUUAAAAGGUGCAAUUGCAUCACUACCAGAUGGACCUGCGUUGUAUUAGCUAGUUGGUGGGGUAACGGCUCACCAAGGCGACGAUACAUAGCCGACCUGAGAGGGUGAUCGGCCACACUGGGACUGAGACACGGCCCAGACGCCUACGGGAGGCAGCAGUAGGGGAUCUUCGGCAAUGGACGGAAGUCUGACCGAGCAACGCCGCGUGAGUGAAGAAGGUUUUCGGAUCGUAAAGCUCUGUUGUAAGAGAAGAACGAGGGUGAGAGUGGAAAGUUCACAGUGUGACGGUACCUUAUCAGAAAGAGACGGCUAACUACGUG